AACGUGUUAGCUAAAUGGUAUAGUAUUGUGCUACGGACACAAAAGUUACAAGUUCGAAUCUUGUACGCGUUU
Molecule: non-coding RNA, 72 nt
Organism: Cryomyces minteri
Lineage: Eukaryota; Fungi; Ascomycota; Dothideomycetes
Source: the annotation of a GenBank genome assembly